RNAcentral lists this ribosomal RNA (497 nucleotides) under uncultured bacterium. Its description in RNAcentral is "partial 16S ribosomal RNA". It matches the Rfam family "Bacterial small subunit ribosomal RNA", at positions 28 to 507 of the family's 1533-position model. The record is from RNAcentral.
GAUGAACGCUGGCGGCGUGCCUAAUACAUGCAAGUCGAGCGAACGGACGAGAAGCUUGCUUCUCUGAUGUUAGCGGCGGACGGGUGAGUAACGCGUGGAUAACCUACCUAUAAGACUGGGAUAACUUCGGGAAACCGGAGCUAAUACCGGAUGAUAUUUUGAACCGCAUGGUUCAAAAGUGAAAGACGGUCUUGCUGUCACUUAUAGAUGGAUCCGCGCUGCAUUAGCUAGUUGGUAAGGUAACGGCUUACCAAGGCAACGAUGCAUAGCCGACCUGAGAGGGUGAUCGGCCACACUGGAACUGAGACACGGUCCAGACUCCUACGGGAGGCAGCAGUAGGGAAUCUUCCGCAAUGGGCGAAAGCCUGACGGAGCAACGCCGCGUGAGUGAUGAAGGUCUUCGGAUCGUAAAACUCUGUUAUUAGGGAAGAACAUAUGUGUAAGUAACUGUGCUCAUCUUGACGGUACCUAAUCAGAAAGCCACGGCUAACUACGUG